Molecule: ribosomal RNA, 404 nt
Filed under: Verrucomicrobiota bacterium
Lineage: Bacteria; Pseudomonadati; Verrucomicrobiota
Description: Verrucomicrobia bacterium partial 16S ribosomal RNA
Rfam family: Bacterial small subunit ribosomal RNA
Source: RNAcentral
UGGGGAAUAUUGCACAAUGGGGGAAACCCUGAUGCAGCGACGCCGCGUGAGCGAUGAAGGCUUUCGAGUCGUAAAGCUCUGUCCUAUGGGAAGAUAAUGACGGUACCAUAGAAGAAAGCCCCGGCUAAUUACGUGCCAGCAGCCGCGGUAAUACGUAAGGGGCGAGCGUUGUCCGGAAUUAUUGGGCGUAAAGAGUGCGUAGGCGGCAAAUUAAGUCAGAUGUGAAAACUAAGGGCUCAACCCAUAGAUUGCAUCUGAAACUGAUAUGCUUGAGUCAAGGAGAGGAAAGUGGAAUUCCUAGUGUAGCGGUGGAAUGCGUAGAUAUUAGGAGGAAUACCGGUGGCGAAGGCGACUUUCUGGACUUGAACUGACGCUGAGGCACGAAAGCGUGGGGAACAAACAGG